Molecule: ribosomal RNA, 255 nt
Filed under: uncultured bacterium
Lineage: Bacteria
Description: partial 16S ribosomal RNA
Rfam family: Bacterial small subunit ribosomal RNA
Source: RNAcentral
UACGUAGGUGGCAAGCGUUUGUUCGGAAUUACUGGGCGUAAAGCGCGUGUAGGCGGCUCUUCAAGUCAGACGUGAAAGCCCCCGGGCUUAACUCGGGAACUGCGUUUGAUACUGUCGAGCUAGAGUGUGGAAGGGGCGAUUGGAAUUCCGUGUGUAGAGGUGAAAUUCGUAGAUAUCGGGAGGAACACCAGUGGCGAAGGCGGCGACCUGGGCCAAUACUGACGCUGAGGUGCGAAAGCGUGGGGAGCAAACAGG